CGCCGGCGACCGGCGGCACGGGUGGAGUAACACGUAUGCGACCUGCCCCCCGCAGGGGGAUAACCGGGAGAAAUCCCGACUAAUACCGCGUAACGCCGCGGACCUGCAUGGGUCUGCGGCCAAAGGAAGCGAUUCCGGCGGGGGAUGGGCAUGCGGCGCAUUAGCUAGUCGGCGGGGUAACGGCCCACCGAGGCGACGAUGCGUAGGGGUUCUGAGAGGAAGGUCCCCCACACUGGUACUGAGACACGGACCAGACUCCUACGGAAGGCAGCAG
This 274-nucleotide ribosomal RNA is filed under the name uncultured bacterium. RNAcentral's name for it is "partial 16S ribosomal RNA". It matches the Rfam family "Bacterial small subunit ribosomal RNA", at positions 85 to 354 of the family's 1533-position model. The record is from RNAcentral.